RNAcentral lists this long non-coding RNA (2793 nucleotides) under Homo sapiens (human). Its description in RNAcentral is "lncRNA UFC1 (LOC112543491)". The record is from RNAcentral. Lineage: Eukaryota; Metazoa; Chordata; Mammalia; Primates; Hominidae.
CAAAAAAGAUACUGCAACAAGGAGGUCAUUUAGGAAAUUUGGAGAAAGCUGUUUUGUAGUUAUGGUGGAUAGAAACCAGAUUGAAUUGAGAAGGCACAACGUAUAAAGACAGUUUUUUCAUGGUGUUGAUGUAAAAAGGAGACUAGUGGUAGGGUGUUGCAGGAGGGAGAAUUCCAAAGAAGGUGAAGAAGUUUUAGGUACCUGUGAGAUAGCUAGAUAGAUAUGUCCUAGUGGCAUGUUUAAUACACAGAUCUAAAACUUAAGAGAAAAAUAUAAGUGGAGAAAAAAAGCAAGCACAGAAUAAAUAUGACACAUUUACACAUGCAUUAAAAAAUUAUGAAGAGUGGGCCUAGGAGGGAUAAGACUUAUACUUUUCAUUUUACAUCUAUCUUUAUUGCUUGAAAUUAUUUUAUUAUGCACAUAUUAUUUUACAGAAAGCUACUUUUUUUUUUUCUUUUUUGAGACAGUCUCGCUCUGUCACCCAGGCUGGAGUGCAGUGGCACAUCUCAGCUCAUUGCAACCUCUGAUUCCCAGGUUCAAGCAAUUCUCCUGCCUCAGCCUCUUGAGUAGCUGGGACUACAGGUGCACGCCACCAUGCCUGGCUAAUUUUUUGUAUUUUUAGUAGAGACGGGGUUUCGUUAUGUUGGCCAGGCUGGUCUCAAACUCUUGACCUCGUGAUCCACUCUCCUCGGCCUCCUAAAGUGCUGGGAUUACAGGCGUGAGCCAUGGUACCUGGCCAGAAAACUACUUUUUAGAAAGCCCUGUGAUAUAUAGGCCAGAAAUUCUGAAACAUCAACAUUUCGGUGGUAGUUGAAGCCAUAGAUUUGGAUAAGCUCCCCAGAAAAGAGCAGAGGGCUAAGAAGAGUGCUCUCGGAAAUUCCAACAUUUAAGGCACAAGUAGAAAAAGAGCUCUUGGAGAAUCUUUGAAAAGGAACAGCGAGUGAAGAAGAAGAAAACCUGGGAGAUAAUUGUCACAGAAUCAAAGGGAAGAGUAUUUCAAGGGGGUGGAUGUUGAAAGUGUCAGAUGUCCCCACAGAGGCAGCUGAUAGGAAAGGUGCUCUUACCUCUGAACCUAGGUUUCUUGGAAGCUUGGCACAAGAGUCAAAUCCAGAUCUUGAACCUUUCCCCAAGUAUCACUGGGCAGUACAACCCCCAGGCUAUUCUGCCCUUAUGCAUCAUGGCUGCCAGUCCCAGUCUUUCAGUGAGUCUUCAAGUCAACACCAGCCAGUGCUGGCACCAUCAAUCUUACUACACUUAAUAAUGAUACCCUGGCUGGGUGUGGUGGCUCACACCUGUAAUCCCAAUACUUUGGCCAGGAGUUCAAGAUCAGCCUGGGCAACAUAGUGAGAGACCCCAUUUCUACAAAAUUUUUUUUUAAUUAGGUGGGUGUGCACUUGCCUGUAGUCCCAGCUAUUUGGGAGGCUGAGGUGGGAGGAUCACCUGAGACUGAGGAGUUUGAGGUUGCAGUGAGUCCUGAUGGCACCAUUGCACUCCAACCUGAGUGACAUAGCGAGACCCUGUUUCAAAAAAAAAGAAGAAGAAUGCUACCCUCUCCCAGUCCUUACUAUGGCCCUGAAGCUGCCAUCAACAAAAACCUGUUUUUCUAGAAAUGGUGAAAUUAAGGAAUUGAAAGUGGGAGUAUUCGUUGGAGUUGGAGGUCAGGAACUAACUGUAUUUUUCAUGGGUUUUUGUAAAACCUCCCAGGAUGAUAGUAAGAGUUGGCACAAAAAGAGGUUAAUAGGUGCUGAAGGCUGGGUUUGGAGGAUCACUUGAGCCCAGGAGUUUGAGGCUGCAGUGAGCUAUGAUUAUUGCCACUGCACUACAAAAAGAAAAAGAAAAAAAAAAGGUGUUAAAGGGCAGUAAAGCCAGAUGGCAUAAGCUUCAAAGGGAGAAGAAUUUUUGCAAGAGGAUGGAAGCACAGUGGUCUAAAAGUAGCAGUGGGUAGCAAAGAGAAAGCUGAUACCUUGCCACGCCUUCCUACAGGAGCAAGAAUAAACAGCCUGUAGAAGGUUGAAGGGAAAAGGUGUUCAUUAAUUGGGGAAAGUAAAAAAUUUCUACCUCACCUCUGACCAUUUUUUCCUCUAUACCCACUGGAACACUUUUCUUUUGUAAACAAUCUCCCUUAUGUAUUCAUUGUCUUCGUAGAUUGCUCCUUAGCUUUUCCUAGAGGAAUAGCCAUCAGGACAGAGGUAGCUGUGAUGUGUGGAAUGCAGAUGUAAUCCACAUAAGCCCGCAAAAAAGACAGACACAGGCACUACUUCUUAAAGGAGAAUAAUAUUCUCCCUCCGUAUCCAUAUUCUGAAGUGGUUUGACACUCAGUAGUCUUGGCACCAUGAUGGUAAUUCCUUUCCAUGAACCCACCUCUCCUCUCCAAACCUAACCCAAUUCCAUUCAGAGGAUUAGAGAAAGCUGAGGAUUGCCUUUUCUAGUCAUAGUAUGAUGUCCAGUCUGCUUAUUGCAACCAAUGGGGAAGAGAACAGAUCACUUUCUUCACUGAGAAUGGAAAGCUUAGCCAGGCACGGUGGCUCAUGCCUGUAAUCCCAGCACUUUGGGAGGCUGAGGCAGGAGGAUCACUUGAGGUCAGGAGUUCGAGACCAGCCUGGCCAACAUGUUGAAACGCCAUCUCUACUAAAAAAUAAACAAAUUAGCUGGGUGUGGUGGCAUGCACUUGUAAUCCCAGCUACUCGGGAGUCUGAGGCAGGAGAAUUGCUUGAACCUGAGAGGUGGAAGUUGCAGUAAGCCAAGAUCACGCCACUGUACUCCAGCCUGGGCAACAGAAUUGAACUCUGUCUC